Molecule: ribosomal RNA, 351 nt
Filed under: uncultured bacterium
Lineage: Bacteria
Description: partial 16S ribosomal RNA
Rfam family: Bacterial small subunit ribosomal RNA
Source: RNAcentral
CCUACGGGAGGCAGCAGUGGGGAAUAGUGGGCAAUGGGCGCAAGCCUGACCCAGCAACGCCGCGUGAAGGAAGAAGGCUGUCGGGUGGUAAACUUCUUUUCGCAGGGACGAAGAAAGUGACGGUACCUGAGGAAUAAGCCACGGCUAACUACGUGCCAGCAGCCGCGGGAAUACGUAGGUGGCAAGCUUUAUCCGGAUUUACGGGGUGUAAAGGGCGUGUAGGCGGGAAAGCAAGGCAGAUGUGAAAACCCUGGGCUCAACCUGUGGCCUGCAUUUGAAACUGUUUUUCUUGAGUACUGGAGAGGCAGCCGGAAUUCCUCUUGUAGCGGUGAAAUGCGUAGAUAUUAGGCG